UCAGUCAUCUGGGUGAUUACGUGUAAAGUCUCCUGUAUGAGCUGUAGCUCGCUGACUAGCACUGGCUAGCAUCCCGUUAGAAACACAAAGUCUGUAGGUCAUAUUACGGACUGCCACGGCUCCAGCUUUGCUUUCAGUGUUUGUAGAGAGCAAAAAGCAUUUCACCCUCGAGAACCACACGAAGUGACUUUCAAUCGAAGUGAAAAUGAUGUAGCAGUAUGGAAGUACUAUCAGGAACCUCUUUCAGGUGUUACUGCAUAAGGAAGUGGUGCUGUCUGAGGCGACACAGCAGGGAGCCUUAAACUCUGAGCACUGGGUGAAGAAACUGAACUGCACCCAAGAAGAGAAACUGAAAGAAGAAUAUGUUUGCUAAACUGAAAAAGAAGAUUGCAGAGGAGGCCGCCACAGCACCUCGGAGUGGUGCUCGCAUACCCCGCACCAUCAGCAAGGAAUCCAUCACCUCAGUGGGAGCAGACUCCGGGGAUGACUUUGCAUCUGAUGGCAGCAGCUCCAGGGAUGACCUUCCUGCCCAGCUCCUCAGAAGAAAUGAUCAGAUCCGGAGGCUGGAGGCCAAGCUGUCAGGUAUGAUGUACAAGAGUAGUGUAAGCAGCCGAAGUGAUGCAGUUUUCAGGAGCAAUCUGAGUUCAAUUUAAAUGC
Pundamilia nyererei is the source of this 657-nucleotide long non-coding RNA. RefSeq lists it as uncharacterized. The record is from RefSeq and is a predicted model, not a curated record. Lineage: Eukaryota; Metazoa; Chordata; Actinopteri; Cichliformes; Cichlidae. The transcript has 3 exons.